This 460-nucleotide ribosomal RNA is filed under the name uncultured bacterium. RNAcentral describes it as "partial 16S ribosomal RNA". It matches the Rfam family "Bacterial small subunit ribosomal RNA", at positions 338 to 795 of the family's 1533-position model. The record is from RNAcentral.
CCUACGGGAGGCAGCAGUGAGGAAUAUUGGUCAAUGGGCGGAAGCCUGAACCAGCCAAGUCGCGUGAGGGAUUAAGGCCCUGCGGGUCGUAAACCUCUUUUGCCGGGGAGCAGAGGUCCGGACGUGUCCGGGCCGGGAGAGUACCCGGAGAACAAGCAUCGGCUAACUUCGUGCCAGCAGCCGCGGUAAUACGGAGGAUGCGAGCGUUAUCCGGAUUAAGUGGGUUUAAAGGGUGCGUAGGCGGGCAUUUAAGCCGACGGUCAAAUGUCGGGGCUCAACCCCGACCUGCCGUCGGAACUGGGUGCCUUGAGUAGGCGAGAAGUAUGCGGAAUGCGUGGUGUAGCGGUGAAAUGCAUAGAUAUCACGCAGAACCCCGAUUGCGAAGGCAGCAUACCGGCGCCCUACUGACGCUGAGGCACGAAAGCGUGGGGAUCAAACAGGAUUAGAUACCCCUGUAGUC